RNAcentral lists this ribosomal RNA (253 nucleotides) under uncultured bacterium. Its description in RNAcentral is "partial 16S ribosomal RNA". It matches the Rfam family "Bacterial small subunit ribosomal RNA", at positions 524 to 776 of the family's 1533-position model. The record is from RNAcentral.
UACGUAGGGGGCAAGCGUUGUCCGGAUUCAUUGGGCGUAAAGAGCGUGUAGGCGGCCAGGUAGGUCGGUUGUGAAAACUGGAGGCUCAACCUUCAGAGGUCGACCGAAACCAUCUGGCUAGAGUCCGGGAGAGGAGAGUGGAAUUCCUGGUGUAGCGGUGAAAUGCGUAGAUAUCAAGUGGAACACCAGUGGCGAAGGCGAAUCCCUGGAAAAUACCUGACACUGAGGCACGAAAGCUAGGGGAGCAAACAGG